AGACAGGUGGUGCAUGGUUGUCGUCAGCUCGUGUCGUGAGAUGUUGGGUUAAGUCCCGCAACGAGCGCAACCCCUGUCCUUAGUAGCCAGCAGUAAGAUGGGCACUCUAGGGAGACAGCCGGGGAUAACCCGGAGGAAGGCGGGGACGACGUCAAAUCAUCAUGCCCCUUAUGAUUUGGGCUACACACGUGCUACAAUGGCGUAAACAAAGGGAAGCGAGCCUGCGAGGGGGAGCGAAUCCCAAAAAUAACGUCCCAGUUCGGACUGCAGUCUGCAACUCGACUGCACGAAGCUGGAAUCGCUAGUAAUCGCGGAUCAGAAUGCCGCGGUGAAUACGUUCCCGGGUCUUGUACACACCGCCCGUCACACCAUGGGAGUCAGUAACGCCCGAAGUCAGUGACCCAACCGAAAGGAAGGAGCUGCCGAAGGCGGGACGGAUGACUGGGGUGAAGUCGUAACAAGGUAGCCGUAUCGGAAGGUGCGGCUGGAUCACCUCCUUU
Molecule: non-coding RNA, 500 nt
Filed under: Blautia sp. An46
Lineage: Bacteria; Bacillati; Bacillota; Clostridia; Lachnospirales; Lachnospiraceae
Description: Bacterial small subunit ribosomal RNA
Rfam family: Bacterial small subunit ribosomal RNA
Source: Rfam by way of RNAcentral